This is a long non-coding RNA of Oryzias melastigma (Indian medaka), 348 nucleotides long. RefSeq lists it as uncharacterized. Lineage: Eukaryota; Metazoa; Chordata; Actinopteri; Beloniformes; Adrianichthyidae. The transcript has 2 exons. The record is from RefSeq and is a predicted model, not a curated record.
UUUCUUGUCAACAGAUUGCAGAGACUAGAGAGCGUUCCACCACCAAAGAACGCUCCAUGCAGAACAAGAUCCUGGAGCUGGAGACCCAGCUCAGCAGGAUAACCUCUGAAAUCACUCAGCUCAGACGCAGCAAAGAGGAGGCAGAGAGGCGGUACCAGAGCCGACUGCAGGACAUGAAGGAUCGCCUGGAGCAGUCCGAUGGAACCAACAGAAGCCUUCAGAACUAUGUGCAGUUUCUCAAGGCGUCAUAUACUAAUGUAUUUGGGGAUCCACUUCUCUCUAGCACUCUGCGAGCUCCAUCACCUUUAUGAUUCCCCUCCUGUGAAUAAAGCACUCUUUGAAACGUGA